RNAcentral lists this ribosomal RNA (301 nucleotides) under uncultured bacterium. Its description in RNAcentral is "partial 16S ribosomal RNA". It matches the Rfam family "Bacterial small subunit ribosomal RNA", at positions 509 to 807 of the family's 1533-position model. The record is from RNAcentral.
CAGUAGCCGCGGGAAAACGUAGGUGGCAAGCGUUAUCCGGAAUUAUUGGGCGUAAAGCGCGCGUAGGCGGUUUUUUAAGUCUGAUGUGAAAGCCCACGGCUCAACCGUGGAGGGUCAUUGGAAACUGGAAAACUUGAGUGCAGAAGAGGAAAGUGGAAUUCCAUGUGUAGCGGUGAAAUGCGCAGAGAUAUGGAGGAACACCAGUGGCGAAGGCGACUUUCUGGUCUGUAACUGACGCUGAUGUGCGAAAGCGUGGGGAUCAAACAGGAUUAGAUACCCCUGUAGUCCCUGUCUCUUAUAC